GCAGACAUUCCUAACACCAUCACGGGAUGACUUAGUGGAGUGCCAAAAGAACAAAGAGUAGUCAGUGAGUGGAAAGCAGGAUAGCCCACCCUGGUGAAGCCUGAGUCUCCAUCCCAGAUUCCUCUCAUAUCUCACUCCUUGCUGAUGGGGAAAGGAAGAGACAGACACAAGCCCCGAAACUAGACAUCUUUGUGGAUGAGUUCCAGCCAAAUGAUCAGAGAUAUAAUGUCACCAGGUCUCUCCAGCUUCCACCACAGAGUGUGUUUUACUAUAUAUAAGAGUCUAACCUAACAUUUGAGCCAAAUAAACCUUCUUUCCCA
RNAcentral lists this long non-coding RNA (320 nucleotides) under Mus caroli (Ryukyu mouse). RNAcentral's name for it is "lncRNA (MGP_CAROLIEiJ_G0006024.1)". Lineage: Eukaryota; Metazoa; Chordata; Mammalia; Rodentia; Muridae. The record is from RNAcentral.